Molecule: ribosomal RNA, 253 nt
Filed under: uncultured bacterium
Lineage: Bacteria
Description: partial 16S ribosomal RNA
Rfam family: Bacterial small subunit ribosomal RNA
Source: RNAcentral
UACGUAGGGUGCAAGCGUUGUCCGGAAUUAUUGGGCGUAAAGAGCUCGUAGGUGGUUUGUCGCGUCCGCUGUGAAAACCCGAGGCUCAACCUCGGGCCUGCAGUGGGUACGGGCAGACUAGAGUGCGGUAGGGGAGACUGGAAUUCCUGGUGUAGCGGUGGAAUGCGCAGAUAUCAGGAGGAACACCGAUGGCGAAGGCAGGUCUCUGGGCCGCAACUGACACUGAGGAGCGAAAGCAUGGGGAGCGAACAGG